This 700-nucleotide ribosomal RNA is filed under the name Halomonas sp. SY2. RNAcentral's name for it is "bacterial SSU rRNA". It matches the Rfam family "Bacterial small subunit ribosomal RNA", at positions 85 to 786 of the family's 1533-position model. The record is from RNAcentral. Lineage: Bacteria; Pseudomonadati; Pseudomonadota; Gammaproteobacteria; Oceanospirillales; Halomonadaceae.
AUGCUGACGAGCGGCGGACGGGUGAGUAAUGCAUAGGAAUCUACCCGGUAGUGGGGGAUAACCUGGGGAAACCCAGGCUAAUACCGCAUACGUCCUACGGGAGAAAGGGGGCUUUGGCUCCCGCUAUCGGAUGAGCCUAUGCCGGAUUAGCUGGUUGGUGAGGUAAUGGCUCACCAAGGCGACGAUCCGUAGCUGGUCUGAGAGGAUGAUCAGCCACAUCGGGACUGAGACACGGCCCGAACUCCUACGGGAGGCAGCAGUGGGGAAUAUUGGACAAUGGGGGCAACCCUGAUCCAGCCAUGCCGCGUGUGUGAAGAAGGCCCUCGGGUUGUAAAGCACUUUCAGCGAGGAAGAACGCCUAUCGGUUAAUACCCGGUAGGAAAGACAUCACUCGCAGAAGAAGCACCGGCUAACUCCGUGCCAGCAGCCGCGGUAAUACGGAGGGUGCAAGCGUUAAUCGGAAUUACUGGGCGUAAAGCGCGCGUAGGUGGCUUGAUAAGCCGGUUGUGAAAGCCCCGGGCUCAACCUGGGAACGGCAUCCGGAACUAUCAGGCUAGAGUGCAGGAGAGGAAGGUAGAAUUCCCGGUGUAGCGGUGAAAUGCGUAGAGAUCGGGAGGAAUACCAGUGGCGAAGGCGGCCUUCUGGACUGACACUGACACUGAGGUGCGAAAGCGUGGGUAGCAAAACAGGAUUAGAUACC